RNAcentral lists this microRNA precursor (83 nucleotides) under Myotis lucifugus (little brown bat). Its description in RNAcentral is "miRNA (ENSMLUG00000023313.1)". Lineage: Eukaryota; Metazoa; Chordata; Mammalia; Chiroptera; Vespertilionidae. The record is from RNAcentral.
GGAGGGCCACCCGGGACCCAGGAGAGGGCAGCCUGGGCUGCCGUGGGCAUCAGCUGGCCCUCAUCUCUGAAGACAACCAUUCC